Molecule: ribosomal RNA, 482 nt
Filed under: uncultured bacterium
Lineage: Bacteria
Description: partial 16S ribosomal RNA
Rfam family: Bacterial small subunit ribosomal RNA
Source: RNAcentral
AUUGAACGCUGGCGGCAUGCCUUACACAUGCCAGUCGAACGGUAACAGGUCUUCGGAUGCUGACGAGUGGCGAACGGGUGAGUAAUACAUCGGAACGUGCCCGAUCGUGGGGGAUAACGAAGCGAAAGCUUUGCUAAUACCGCAUAAGAUCUACGGAUGAAAGCAGGGGACCGCAAGGCCUUGCGCGAACGGAGCGGCCGAUGGCAGAUUAGGUAGUUGGUGGGAUAAAAGCUUACCAAGCCGACGAUCUGUAGCUGGUCUGAGAGGACGAUCAGCCACACUGGGACUGAGACACGGCCCAGACUCCUACGGGAGGCAGCAGUGGGGAAUUUUGGACAAUGGGCGAAAGCCUGAUCCAGCCAUGCCGCGUGCAGGAUGAAGGCCUCCGGGUUGUAAACUGCUUUUGUACGGAACGAAAAGACUCUGGUUAAUACCUGGGGUCCAUGACGGUACCGUAAGAAUAAGCACCGGCUAACUACGUG